UACAGAGGUCCCAAGCGUUGUUCGGAUUCACUGGGCGUAAAGGGUGCGUAGGCGGUCGGGUAAGUCUGGCGUGAAAUCUCCAAGCCUAACUUGGAAACUGCGUUGGAUACUAUCCGGCUCGAGGAAUGGAGGGGAGACUGGAAUACUUGGUGUAGCAGUGAAAUGCGUAGAUAUCAAGUGGAACACCAGUGGCGAAGGCGAGUCUCUGGACAUUUCCUGACGCUGAGGCACGAAAGCGUGGGGAGCGAACAGG
This 253-nucleotide ribosomal RNA is filed under the name uncultured bacterium. Its description in RNAcentral is "partial 16S ribosomal RNA". It matches the Rfam family "Bacterial small subunit ribosomal RNA", at positions 524 to 776 of the family's 1533-position model. The record is from RNAcentral.